AUUUCCGGCCCAGGGGGCUUGGCUCCCCGCGGCACGGGAUUUAGCGUUCGCGCUCCUUCCCUUCCCGUGGUCGAGCCGAGUCCUGACCUGAGGGCUGCAUCAAGAUCUUGUCAUUCCACAUCGUGGUUUCCUUUGAGGAUGUGGCUGUACCCCUCUCCCAGGAGGAGUGGGACUGUCUGAUCCCUGCUCAGAGGGGCCUCUACAAGGAUGUGAUGAUGGGGACCUAUGGGAACCUACUCUCAUUAGUAGGUGAAUGGUUAAGCAAACUGUGGUACAUCCAUACCAUGGGAUACGACUCAACAAUCAAAAGGAACUGCCCAGACUUCACCACGAUGCAAUAUAUGCAUGCUGUGAUUCUAGGAUUGAAAAAGAGGAAAUGAUUCCAAAGCAGGACAUUUCUGAAGAAUUGGAAUCCCAGAGAGCAAAAUCAGAAGAUCAUGUAAGGAAUAUUUUUAAGGAAACUGAAGAGAUGAGUAAAACUGAGGGAAAGUUAGAGAAUUGCUGGAGAAAAUAUGCAGUAGAAGGAGUUAAGAACUCAUUCUCCCAGAAGAGCAAUUUCAGAGAAAUUACCAUGAGGUAUGUGAAAACCCUCUCUAGAGAGAAUGGCCAGAAGUUCAAUGCUGUUGGAGAAAACUGCAUUACAGACUCAAAUCCUGCCAAACAUCUUAGAGGGUCUAGAGAGGAGAGUCUCCAUCCAAGUGUGUCAAGUGUAGAAAACUUGCAACAACAUGAGGACCUCAUUAACCUCCAGAGUUUCCAAUUAGGAGAAAGAGCCUAUCAGACAGAUGUGUUAGUGAAAGUGCCCAGACAGAGCUCAGUUCUUAGUGAGAAUCAGAGGAUGAAUAAUCCAGAGAGAUGGUUUGAGAGUACUGGGUGUGGAAAAACUUACAAUCAGAACAGAGCUUUUAACCAGCACCAGAGAUUUCAUAGUGGAGAGAAGACCUAUGAGCACAAUGAAUGUGGAAAAGCUUUCAGUUGGCCCUCUAUCCUCAGUAAACAUCAGAGAAUCCACACUGGUAAGAAACUCUACACAUGUGAGGAUUGUGGCAAAUCUUUCAGUGUUCACUCAUACUUUAUUCAGCAUUGUAAAAUUCACACUAGAGAAAAACCCUAUGAGUGUAUUAAAUGUGGGAAAGCUUUUAGUACACA
Molecule: long non-coding RNA, 1149 nt
Organism: Homo sapiens (human)
Lineage: Eukaryota; Metazoa; Chordata; Mammalia; Primates; Hominidae
Gene: ZNF252P
Product: zinc finger protein 252, pseudogene
Source: Ensembl